Molecule: non-coding RNA, 31 nt
Filed under: Homo sapiens (human)
Lineage: Eukaryota; Metazoa; Chordata; Mammalia; Primates; Hominidae
Source: RNAcentral
GAGGCACAUAAAUAGGAUCUGCAUCAGCAGU